GGCAACCCGCUGAGGUCAAGCUUCGUUUUUUUUGCUUUUUACAAUAAGUGUUGCUACUGCUCAGUCUUUGAGUCCACGCUACUUUUAUGAGCUGUAACACUCACUACAAAGGUCUGCAGCUUCACUCUUGAAGCCAGCGAGACCACUGAGCUCACCGGGAGGAACAAACAACUCCGGACGCACUGUCUUAAGAGCUAUAACACCGCCAAGGUCUGCAUCUUCACUUCUGAGCCAGCGAGACCACGAACCCACCAGAAGGAAGAAACUCGGAACACAUCUGAAUAUCAGAAGGAACAGACUCCAGACGCGCCACCUCAAGAGCUGUAACACUCACGGCGAGGGUCCGCGGCUUCAUUCUUGAGGGCAAAAUCUUUUUCCCUUGAAGACUGGAAAUAUUAUCCAUGUUGUCCUCCGGAAUAUUUUCAAUGACUUGUGCCCUGCCAGCUCUAGCUUUUGAAGGGUCUACACUCAUCAUCAACAGAUUCUGGGGGUUCAUGCACAGAUUUCUUACCUGGGUAUAUUGUGUGAUGCUGAGCUUUGGAGUUCAACUGAUUUCAUCACCCAGAAGAACAACCAGAGAAAGCCAAGUAUGCACCUGAUGCCCCACUUCCAGUGAGCCGCCUCCAGCUUCCCACGCCAACAGCUUCCAAUCAGCACACUUUCGGAGCCUUCCCUUUUCUCCACGAUGAAAGCUUCCCCACUCCUCUGACUGCCUUUGAGCCUCUGCCAAAACUCAAGUGAUGGUAGCCGACUCCCUGCUACCGCAAGCUUGGAAUAAACAGCCUUUGCUUUUCUCAUCUGCUUUGUCUUCGUUUAUUUCCACAAGAUCCUUCACAGUGAGAAGCUGCUUCCUCCCUUGGAGCCUUUCUAACCCUGCACCCUCUGCCUGGAAUGCUUCCUCCACCCUCCACGUGGUCAAACCUCUCCCUGUUUUCCAGAUUUCAACUUGUGAAUUGAAGACACCUUCUCUAACCACUCUGUAACCACUCCCUUCUCAGCCUCUUUUUUGGUUCCCUUACAGUGCGUGCCACAACUUGCAAUCAUUUCGUUUAUUUUUUUGGU
RNAcentral lists this long non-coding RNA (1062 nucleotides) under Homo sapiens (human). RNAcentral describes it as "HSALNT0332574". The record is from RNAcentral. Lineage: Eukaryota; Metazoa; Chordata; Mammalia; Primates; Hominidae.